CUAGGCACGAACCCUGAAUGAGCAGGACAUCCUUGAUGAAUGUCCAGACACAGGUGAAUUCUUACACACCCAGAAGAGAUUCUCUCAGACGCACAGGUUACCCUUUUAUAUACAGGGAGGUGGUGUUUCAAAUAACAAUACAGAACCUUUCGGUUUUGUAAUUGGAAUGAGUUAAGUAUAAACCCCUUAACAAGUAUCAAUUGGAGGGCAAGUCUGGUGCCAGCAGCCGCGGUAAUUCCAGCUCCAAUAGCGUAUAUUAAAGUUGUUGCAGUUAAAAAGCUCGUAGUUAAUCUUCUGUUAAUUUUUAUAUAUAAUAUCACGAUAUUUAUAUAAUAUUAACAUAAUUCAUAUUACUUUUUAGUAUAUGAAACUUUACUUUGAGAAAAUUAGAGUGCUUAAAGCAGGCUAUUGCCUUGAAUACUCCAGCAUGGAAUAAUAUUAAGGAUUUUUAUUCUUCUUAUUGGUUCUAGAAUAAAAAUGAUGAUUAAUAGGGACAGUUGGGGGCAUUUGUAUUUAACAGUCAGAGGUGAAUUUUCUUUAGAA
Molecule: ribosomal RNA, 543 nt
Filed under: Cryptosporidium bovis
Lineage: Eukaryota; Apicomplexa; Conoidasida; Eucoccidiorida; Cryptosporidiidae
Description: SSU rRNA
Rfam family: Eukaryotic small subunit ribosomal RNA
Source: RNAcentral